AAGCUUUUUGCUUGGAUUAUGU
This 22-nucleotide microRNA is filed under the name Xenopus laevis (African clawed frog). RNAcentral describes it as "Xla-Mir-208-P2a_5p* (star (passenger))". Lineage: Eukaryota; Metazoa; Chordata; Amphibia; Anura; Pipidae. The record is from RNAcentral. RNAcentral also lists the same sequence under 2 other names.